This 266-nucleotide small nuclear RNA is filed under the name Salvator merianae (Argentine black and white tegu). RNAcentral describes it as "7SK RNA (ENSSMRG00000023154.1)". It matches the Rfam family "7SK RNA". Rfam says of the family: 7SK was discovered as an abundant small nuclear RNA in the mid-70s but a possible function has only recently been suggested. Two independent studies have found that 7SK RNA binds the CDK9/cyclin T complex (known as elongation factor P-TEFb). P-TEFb activates transcription by phosphorylating the C-terminal domain of RNA polymerase II. The record is from Rfam by way of RNAcentral. Lineage: Eukaryota; Metazoa; Chordata; Lepidosauria; Squamata; Teiidae.
GGAUGUGGGAACCAUUUGGCCUCAGCAUUGAUUGCCAAGGUUGAUUAAGCUGAUCUGGCUAGCUAGGCAGGCAUCCUUUGCCUCUCGCAUCACUCCAUGUGCAACGCUCCCAAAGCUGUGUGCUUAGUGGAAGCAGAUGACUGUCCCAGAUAGAAGGAUUGUUUCAUUCUUUGGUCUGUUGCCUAGCAGCAGAGAUCCUACCCACAUACAGAAGAUCCCAGAUUCAACUGCUGACAUUUCCAGGUAUUGCUGGAAAUGCAGCUUCU